GGGCAUAUUGAGUUUUCAAUUGAUGGAGUCGGUUACAAAGUGAGCUUCAAAGAGAUUGAUGAGAUAUUUGGCUUUGUGAGGAAUGAGAGCUCUAUGAAGAAGUUUUUGUACCCUAAAGAAGUGGUUGCUGCUCUGUGGGACACCAUUGCUUUUGAACCGCAUGUUGGAGGCAAGAGCAAGACAAGCUGCUUAAGAAACC
Molecule: long non-coding RNA, 199 nt
Filed under: Eutrema salsugineum
Lineage: Eukaryota; Viridiplantae; Streptophyta; Magnoliopsida; Brassicales; Brassicaceae
Description: long non-coding RNA (ESAL_LNC001848)
Source: RNAcentral